Molecule: long non-coding RNA, 2029 nt
Organism: Gallus gallus (chicken)
Lineage: Eukaryota; Metazoa; Chordata; Aves; Galliformes; Phasianidae
Source: Ensembl
GUCUGGUUCAACAAUAACUGGAUUGGAAAGCAGCUGUCGUGUUAAAGAAUCAAGUCAGUUUGUACAUGAGCUCUUUGACAGAAGAAGGAGUUGGCAUUUGAGCCUGGAAGCCGUCAGGCUGAGAACGCGAGCUGAUGCGAAGUGUAAAGUGGGUGGAUUUUGCCUUCCAGCUGCACUUUCAAUGGGGGAAGUGCAGGUACUGCAGAUUUCUAUUGCCCAGUCUGGUACUGCCAUCUCCAAACUGGCAUGUCAUCCCCGAGCUGCUGCUUUCCCAUUAAAACCAAUGGAAAUUGGGGACCAAGUUCUCAAAGAAUGGACCAAGCUGCCAAUGGCUCCUCAGAGAACAGGAGGGCUGCAGCCUUGAAGUGAUUGUGCCCACAUCUCACCAGGUGCUUCGGAUCAUCAGCACAUCUCAGCUCAGAAGGCAAUGUUCAGAAAUGUCACUUGGCAGUGAGGCCCCUUGCUGAAACACUGGAAGAAGUGAUCUGUGAUCUGUCGGCAGUAACGAGACUGGGCCUUAACUGGCCCAGCUGCAAGGUCUUGACUGGGAAUGCUGGCAGGCAAAGCCAUCUCUUGGAUCUGUAAUUUGUCUCCAAACAUGGCUCUUGAAGGAUGCUAAAGUACAAAAUGUGCUUUUUUGAUAAAGCGAGUGGUACACACGUUGUUACCUCGGGGCCUUUGCUUUGCUGUGCUCUGGUUCCUGUGACCAGAUCCAGACAGGGCAGCCAGAAGAAAAAUGUGCAGGUAGAGAGAAAGAUAAUGUGGUCUCGUGGGCAGCACCGGGCGACCACAAGAGAGGAAGCAGCCAUGCCCUGGCUCUGUGUGAGCUGAGAAAUAACAGAGAGAUGGGCAUUGCUCGUCCUUCCCUCCUGCAGACAGAGCCAGAACAAUUAUCCUCCUGUUUGACUCCAGCAUGGAUGGAACUCUUGCAGCCCAGCUGCUCCUUAUGGAUCUUCCAUGAAGAUAACUUGUCUUAAAGUCCAGUACUCACUUGCAUUUCUUUGCAUCUCCUCAGCCUGCUGUGUGAGUGGAAUCGUUCAGGUGAUCUAUGCUUGAGAUCUAUUCAGUGAUUAAAGGGGCUGUGUGCUGGCUGCUGUUCCUGCUGAAAGAAAAAAGAGAAAAACAUAAAGAGGAUACAGAAUGACCACACUAAGCACUUUAAGCAAUAAACGUUUAUGCUUUUAAAAAUGGGAAAAAAUGACAUUUAAUAAGAGAAGAAAAUGAGAAUAUCAACCCCCAUAAAGCAAAUGGUGUGGAUCAGCACAGGCUCAGCUCUGCCUGAAGUGACUUGGGCUAUUCUGGUGACUUGAAAAUUCUUAUGUGAGGAGCCCUGAGUGGGAUUAUUUGCACCUAAAGCAAUUUCCAGAAUGUGAAUGGUGACCAGAACACACAGAGGCAGAAAAGCAAACGGGAAAUAGAUGGGAGAAAUCCUGCAGUGCUGGGAUGGGCAGAGCUCUGGUCACAUCAUUCACAGAAUAAAAAAUGCAGAAACUCUGAGUUCAGCCAUUCAGCAUAAGAAGUCGAUGGACAAUCUGAACUUGAGUGGAUCAAAAAGCAAUGAAAAUAUAACCAAAAUGGAACUACCUGCCCAAACACAGCAAGCGUGUAUCACAGCUAAAGAUGUCUGUAGCCCACUGAAGGCCCAUUUGAAGCACCAAAGGCUCUGCAGUUGGCUCCUUGGCAAUGCUGCAAUGGCAGCGAUGUGGCACUUCUGUGCUCAGGCUGCGUGGGGUCACGCAGGUCCUUAGGCUGCUGUAAUGUGGAGCACUGCGAAGUUUUUAAUUUCACUGUUCUGAUCCUGAGGGACUGUGCUUUCCCUGAAGCUGGUUGGCAGUGUGAGGUGCCAAAACAGGAAGAGUAAUGAAAGGGUACUCAUCCUAUCUCACAUGUCAGGCAGAGGAGCGCGCAGCAGGAGGAGAUGAUGGGUGCUCUCAAGGAUGAUUAUUUUCCACAGACUUCAGCGGGACUGGAUGUAUACUCAAGGAUGAACACACGUUUAAGUGCUAUUCCAAAGAGUGAUGCUUUCUUC